GGUUAAGCGACUAAGCGUACACGGUGGAUGCCCUGGCAGUCAGAGGCGAUGAAGGACGUGCUAAUCUGCGAAAAGCGUCGGUAAGGUGAUAUGAACCGUUAUAACCGGCGAUGUCCGAAUGGGGAAACCCAGUGUGAUUCGUCACACUAUCGUUAACUGAAUACAUAGGUUAACGAGGCGAACCGGGGGAACUGAAACAUCUAAGUACCCCGAGGAAAAGAAAUCAACCGAGAUUCCCCCAGU
RNAcentral lists this ribosomal RNA (243 nucleotides) under Klebsiella pneumoniae. Its description in RNAcentral is "partial 23S ribosomal RNA". It matches the Rfam family "Bacterial large subunit ribosomal RNA", at positions 1 to 244 of the family's 2925-position model. The record is from RNAcentral. RNAcentral also lists the same sequence under 1 other name. Lineage: Bacteria; Pseudomonadati; Pseudomonadota; Gammaproteobacteria; Enterobacterales; Enterobacteriaceae.